GACGAACGCUGGCGGCGUGCCUAAUACAUGCAAGUCGAACGCUUCUUUCCUCCCGAGUGCUUGCACUCAAUUGGAAAGAGGAGUGGCGGACGGGUGAGUAACACGUGGGUAACCUACCCAUCAGAGGGGGAUAACACUUGGAAACAGGUGCUAAUACCGCAUAACAGUUUAUGCCGCAUGGCAUAAGAGUGAAAGGCGCUUUCGGGUGUCGCUGAUGGAUGGACCCGCGGUGCAUUAGCUAGUUGGUGAGGUAACGGCUCACCAAGGCCACGAUGCAUAGCCGACCUGAGAGGGUGAUCGGCCACACUGGGACUGAGACACGGCCCAGACUCCUACGGGAGGCAGCAGUAGGGAAUCUUCGGCAAUGGACGAAAGUCUGACCGAGCAACGCCGCGUGAGUGAAGAAGGUUUUCGGAUCGUAAAACUCUGUUGUUAGAGAAGAACAAGGACGUUAGUAACUGA
Molecule: ribosomal RNA, 462 nt
Filed under: Enterococcus faecalis
Lineage: Bacteria; Bacillati; Bacillota; Bacilli; Lactobacillales; Enterococcaceae
Description: bacterial SSU rRNA
Rfam family: Bacterial small subunit ribosomal RNA
Source: RNAcentral